Lotus japonicus is the source of this 1471-nucleotide long non-coding RNA. RefSeq lists it as uncharacterized. Lineage: Eukaryota; Viridiplantae; Streptophyta; Magnoliopsida; Fabales; Fabaceae. The transcript has 3 exons. The record is from RefSeq and is a predicted model, not a curated record.
AUUUUCUUUUGUUUCCGAAUUCUCUUCGGCCCCUGCAUUCUCGGUCUCCCCUUCGCACUUGUUCUGGGCUCGUUUUACAUUCUGAUCAUUUCAUGCUUUUCCAGAGCUCCUAUGCUUAAUGACUUUCAACAAAUCCUAGCGCAAAGCAAGAGGUUUCCCCAUUAUCUGGACUAGAGAGAAUUGUGGAUGCAAGUUUACUGAUGUUGCUGGGCUUGGGAAAAUAAUGCUUUCUUUACUCAGUAGUAAAAUUUGAUAAAUUGUGAAAGAGUACUUGAGUAGAGUCAGGACUUCACUUACCAGUAGAUCGUGAUGGAGAAGUAGUCUGAGUCUGAGGCGAGUAAGUGUUAUUUGUGGUGGCAGAAACUAGUGGUGGUGCUGGAGUGGGUGAUGUAGAAAUGGUGUGAUAGAAAGGGUCCGGUUCAUACCUAAUAUUACAGCUUGGAUACAUAACUCUCCCUCCCUUCUUUGCAACACAACACUUUGGAAAUUCCCCUAUCGCAUCACUGAGACAUGUUCUGCAAUCACGGGGUGACAAAUCUGGUGUGCACUGAGCUUGAAUGUAAAUGGUGUGAGAUUCUGAGUCUGAGACAGUUACUUCCUUUGUGGCGUACUUAAUCUUCUCAUCACCACUUGCUGCUUCGUCUGCAGUUGCAUUCAUGGCCUUAUACACCAAAUGCAAGAAGCUUUCUGGGUUUGAGACAUUAAGGGGGUUCAAAUAGACAAAUUUAGGCUGCGUAUCGACGGCGGAGAAGAAAUUGCGAUUGGAGUAGCGAACCAUGCACUCGUCAUACCAAAUCACAGCUUGUUUGGACAAGGAGCACUCUGAGAAGAGUUGCAGAGUUGCGUCCCCGAUGCAUUGUUGACAGAGUUGAGAGUCAUCGUCGCCCUUGCACAUGAAAAGCCCAUAGACGGAGUCAGAUGGGUUUGUGCUACCAAUGACUGUGCUGGUGGAGAAUUGGGUGUCUCCUGUGGCCUUAGAAGACAAUGAAGUGAGGAGGGUUCUCAGAUCAAAUUGGAAGGCACUGUUGUUGUUGGAGAUGGUGGUGGUGGUGGUGUUGGAGCAAAUUUUAUAUAGAUAAAUAGCAAUGCUGUCCUCUGUCUUGGUAGGUGGAAACCUGAGGAAGCUAAUCAGGAUGAAGAAGAAAAGAAUGUUAUAGGAAGGCAUGUAUGUGUUAUAUUGGAUCUUCUGUUCACAGCCGUGUGUGGCUGGAUAUAUAGAAUAGAAUGAUUUCAUGGUAGCAAUUUUAGUUAAAAGUUAUUCUUCUCAAUUAUUGUGAUACCAAAUAAUUUGUGUUUGAAGUUUACAAACAUAUUUCCUAGUAUAAGAGUUGUAGACUUAGGUAGAUACUAGUCAAGCAAGGCAUUUAUGAGACAAGUCAAGCAAAGCCAGUAAACGAUAAGGUCUACAUAAUGAUGUGGUUCCUGGCACAGCAAGUUUCUCAAUUGAUGAUCGUGGGUCCUUUGAUUUUAA